RNAcentral lists this ribosomal RNA (253 nucleotides) under uncultured bacterium. RNAcentral's name for it is "partial 16S ribosomal RNA". It matches the Rfam family "Bacterial small subunit ribosomal RNA", at positions 524 to 776 of the family's 1533-position model. The record is from RNAcentral.
UACAGAGGUCCCAAGCGUUGCUCGGAAUCACUGGGCGUAAAGGGUGCGUAGGCGGGUCUUUAAGUCAGGGGUGAAAUCCUGGAGCUCAACUCCAGAACUGCCUUUGAUACUGAGGAUCUUGAGUCCGGGAGAGGUGAGUGGAACUGCGAGUGUAGAGGUGAAAUUCGUAGAUAUUCGCAAGAACACCAGUGGCGAAGGCGGCUCACUGGCCCGGUACUGACGCUGAGGCACGAAAGCGUGGGGAGCAAACAGG